GUGGGGAAUCUUGCGCAAUGGGCGAAAGCCUGACGCAGCCAUGCCGCGUGAAUGAUGAAGGUCUUAGGAUUGUAAAAUUCUUUCACCGGGGACGAUAAUGACGGUACCCGGAGAAGAAGCUCCGGCUAACUUCGUGCCAGCAGCCGCGGUAAUACGAAGGGGGCUAGCGUUGCUCGGAAUUACUGGGCGUAAAGGGCGCGUAGGCGGACAGCUUAGUCAGAGGUGAAAGCCCAGGGCUCAACCUUGGAAUUGCCUUUGAUACUGGCUGUCUUGAGUUUGGGAGAGGUGAGUGGAACUCCGAGUGUAGAGGUGAAAUUCGUAGAUAUUCGGAGGAACACCAGUGGCGAAGGCUGCUCACUGGCUCGAUACUGACGCUGAGGUGCGAAAGCGUGGGGAGCAAACAGGAUUAGAUACCCUAGUAGUCC
Molecule: ribosomal RNA, 425 nt
Filed under: uncultured bacterium
Lineage: Bacteria
Description: partial 16S ribosomal RNA
Rfam family: Bacterial small subunit ribosomal RNA
Source: RNAcentral